CAGGAACAGGAUCCCCCUUGUGGAAUUCACGGAGUUAUUUGCCAGUGCUAGGGUAAGAAGCUGGGCCUGGCUGCUCCAAAUGAGAUGCCACGUUUCUCAGAAGAACUGGAAAGAAAAGAAUGGUUCCUUUCCAGGCCCAUGUCAGCCUUGUUGAAUGAAGAUGAGAAUAACUGGCUUAUCAAAGGGAAAGAAUUUCUACACCAAAUACACCUACUUGCCUGGAUUACAUUCACAGACACAGAAAAAAAUACGUGAGAAAGAGGCAGUUUUCUGUCAGAUCUUGCACUGAUCUUCUAAUCUGGAUACCAUCCACCGGCUAAAUAAAAUAUUUGGAACAGGA
Molecule: long non-coding RNA, 340 nt
Organism: Oxyura jamaicensis (ruddy duck)
Lineage: Eukaryota; Metazoa; Chordata; Aves; Anseriformes; Anatidae
Exons: 2
Source: RefSeq, a predicted model, not a curated record